UAGGGAAUCUUCGGCAAUGGGGGGAACCCUGACCGAGCAACGUCGCGUGAGUGAAGAAGGUUUUCGGAUCGUAAAGCUCUGUUGUUAAGGAAGAACGAGUGUGAGAAUGGAAAGUUCAUACUGUGACGGUACUUAACCAGAAAGGGACGGCUAACUACGUGCCAGCAGCCGCGGUAAUACGUAGGUCCCGAGCGUUGUCCGGAUUUAUUGGGCGUAAAGCGAGCGCAGGCGGUUAGAUAAGUCUGAAGUUAAAGGCAGUGGCUCAACCAUUGUAGGCUUUGGAAACUGUUUAACUUGAGUGCAGAAGGGGAGAGUGGAAUUCCAUGUGUAGCGGUGAAAUGCGUAGAUAUAUGGAGGAACACCGGUGGCGAAAGCGGCUCUCUGGUCUGUAACUGACGCUGAGGCUCGAAAGCGUGGGGAGCGAACAGG
Molecule: ribosomal RNA, 429 nt
Filed under: Bacteroidota bacterium
Lineage: Bacteria; Pseudomonadati; Bacteroidota
Description: Bacteroidetes bacterium partial 16S ribosomal RNA
Rfam family: Bacterial small subunit ribosomal RNA
Source: RNAcentral